ACUAAACUAGAAUACUAAAGCUAUCAAUUAAAGAGUCCUUUCAAUAUUCAUAAAAGCUAAGGAAAAUACAAGCUAAAGGGUGUAUUUAUUCUUAUUACAACCAAAUGACAAAAAUACCCUUAAUGAAGGGUGCUCCUUUGGAGUGUAAAAGAGGAGUACUAAAAGUCCAUAAUACCCCUAAGUUAAGGCGCCCUUAGAGCGUAUCCAAGGC
This 211-nucleotide long non-coding RNA is filed under the name Capsicum annuum. RNAcentral describes it as "long non-coding RNA (CANN_LNC020992)". The record is from RNAcentral. Lineage: Eukaryota; Viridiplantae; Streptophyta; Magnoliopsida; Solanales; Solanaceae.